This is a non-coding RNA of Ictidomys tridecemlineatus (thirteen-lined ground squirrel), 72 nucleotides long. Lineage: Eukaryota; Metazoa; Chordata; Mammalia; Rodentia; Sciuridae. The record is from Rfam.
AGGGUUGUGGCUCAGUGGUAGAGCGCUUGCCUAGCAUGCACAAGGCACUGGGUUUGAUCCCCGGCACCACAU